This is a long non-coding RNA of Vitis vinifera (wine grape), 826 nucleotides long. RefSeq lists it as uncharacterized. Lineage: Eukaryota; Viridiplantae; Streptophyta; Magnoliopsida; Vitales; Vitaceae. The record is from RefSeq and is a predicted model, not a curated record. The transcript is spliced from 2 exons.
UUAGGACACCAUGCCUUUGGGCUUUGCUCUUCAAAAGAUAAACCCUAAACACUUGGAUACAGUUUGCUCCUCCAUGUCUAUCUCUUUCUUUGAAUUCUUUUCCCUUCCCUUUUUCCUGUGGAAACGUGCUGACACUGUUCAUUAAAGAGAAACGUGCAUGCGGGAAUAUAAGAUUAGGGUUUCUACAGAAUGCGUGCGACCUCCUCAAUGUCACACUUAUAUAUAUGUCCAUUUUCCUCUCCUCCCUUCACUCAAGCAAGACUCAAGCUAUCUCCUGAGACAUGUUGGGAUAUAGUACUGCAGCUUCUCUUCUUCUGCCACCAUGGUGCUGCUCUCAACUUUCUGGCGAUUCGCGGAUACCCAUCCCUAAUAUUUUCCUCCAGAAGGGGCAGUGUAGGCUUCUGUCUCAUUUUCAUGAGGUGGGUGGCUUUUGUAGCUGCAUGAACCCAGAUGGGUUGACUUAAUUCCAAGGGAAGAAUCACGGCAUGGAGAUCUUCCAUGCAAGGGGAAUCAAGCUUUCCUGGUCCGAUCGGUUAUUUUUAUUUUAUUUAUUUUGUUUUGUUUUGUUUUAACAUUUUUAUACUUCUAAUUAAUUGGUCUGCAAUGAUGCAGAUGUCCAUUAUCAUCAUUUUCUCGUUGUAUUAUUAAUUUUCAUGAGUGUUCUAGUAAUAUGUUGCCAAUAAGGGCUAGAUAGGAGUGAAUUGUAGUGUUGAUGUAACAGUCAGAUCCGAGAAUUAAUGUAAGGACUGUGUGCAAGUUAAUUCUUAAUGUAAUAACAGUCUCAUGUAUACUCCGGUUUCAUGACCAAGUAUCCAUUAAUUGUUUA